Molecule: unclassified non-coding RNA, 3247 nt
Filed under: Pogonomyrmex barbatus (red harvester ant)
Lineage: Eukaryota; Metazoa; Arthropoda; Insecta; Hymenoptera; Formicidae
Description: uBA-like domain-containing protein 2, transcript variant X1
Source: RNAcentral
UAUCGUCAUCGUUGUCGUCGUUGUCGCGCGGCCGUAGCGCUCUCGCGGCAGUCGCGGUCGCCUGCGAUGAGUUUAGUUUUGAAAACAAGGGGCCGCCCGCCGCUCGCCGUGGUUGUACGUCGUCGUCGUCGUCGCCGUACGGCUCGCGUAUAGAAACGGAAGCGCCUCCGUCCGCAAGCGCGGCGCAGACGGCAGACGAGGAAUUAAACGGCGCGUUGCGUCGCGUCGGGACGAGUCGUGUGUAUCACGAUUAAACGUUCCUUCCGUCCCUCCCUCAUUCAGCUGUUUAUUCGUACGUCCGUCCAUCCGUUCAUCUCUUUCUCUCGGUAUACAUAUAUAUAUAUAUAGAGAGAGAGAAAGAGAGAUAUUUAUCUCUAUCCUGUUGUCUCCCUUUCUCUCUCUUUCCCUGUGACAAUUCUCCCUUCGCGUUACUGUCGAAUACGCGUGAUCACACAAAAAAUGGACGCACUUCGGGAGCAGGUGAUGAUCAAUCAGUUUGUGUUGGCCGCGGGCUGUGCCAGGGAACAGGCGAAGCAAUUGCUGCAGGCGGCGCAUUGGCAAUUCGAGACCGCUCUCAGUAUUUUCUUUCAAGAAGCAGCGAUACCUUCCUGUGCGCAAGGAGCCGGCACUCACUUCGGCCAAAUAACACCAUGCAAUACGCCAGCCACUCCGCCGAAUUUCCCAGACGCUCUAUUGGCAUUUUCUAAAAUGUCUGCAGGUGAAAAAACUCCAUCGGGCAUGUCUCCGAGCCAGAACGGAUUUCAGGCAAACUCGACACCGAUGGCGAGCAUUGUGCAGCACCACACCGCCGGCGGCCGGUGUAGUGCAUCCGGCAAUGCGACACAGCAACAGACGCAACCCCAACAGACGCAAUUCGGCCUGGGCGAACCGCAGAGAUAAAAAUGACUGUGCUAAUUGGUGAUGCGCGAGCACGAAACGGCACGUAAAUGCGCGCGAUAACGUUUCUGGAGAACAAAAUACUGCGCUCUAUGCAUAGAACGCGAAAAAGGAGAGAGAGAAAGAGAGACAGAAAGGUGAAAAAUGUAUAUGAAAAAGAAGAAAUUCUCCGUCUUCUGAGAAAAUGUAUCCUUCCUGGAAGAGGAAAAUUCGUGAAAUUUGCGAAUGAGAUCGCGGUAAUUACAUGAAAAUAUGUAUUCUUUUGCAGAUUGAAACUGGAUUGCUACGUUUAUUUACGCACAAUAAGCGAUGUGCGCAUUGUUGUGUAUGUGCGAACGCACGAAUGAGUCGAGUGUCGAUUUUCCUGACGAUGCCCGAGGGAAUGUGAUACGUAUAUUUCGAUCGCUAGAUUUCCUUCUCGGCUUCCUCUAGGGAAUAUCGAGAGGGAUCUAGGCAUAGUACGGCACUUUGAAUAGUCCGCUAUAAAUAUAUUACACACGGCCGAUAUGAAAACGCGAGUGAGGGACGAGAGACGGAAAAUCAUAUCGAAGAGCCUUUCUUCUUUUAUCUCUGUCAUGUUCGGAUUAUCUCAUGCUAUAGACACAUGACUCUUUCUCAGAUUCAUUCACUAUAUACAUCACCGUUAAACUAGGCGAUGAAUUUCCGCUAUCACUUCCACGUCACAGUACAAAAGAGUUGCGAGGAUGCAUGGUUUCUUCGAUUAAUAAAAAAUCUUUUCACGGAAAAAAAUGAUGGGAGAAUGUAUGUAUCUUUAAUGAUAGAUGGAUACACGAUGGCUCGCAGGCGGUCAUGUAAUCAUGGAACUCGAGUGUUUUAUUACGAUCCUAUCGCUGUUCUCUUAAAAUAGUGAUGCUUGCGGCACGCGUUACUCGCGCAACGUGUGUCGUUCCCGUACACAUAAGCGAUAUUUCGAUGGUAUAAAUAUACGAGGCUAAGUAACAAACUUUACUGUGUAAAAAUUUGUAAAAAGAGUAAUCCGAGUUACGUAAUGUUCGUUUUACAUAAUAAAUAACUAUGUAAAAAGUGAAAUCAAGGAGGAUCUCGCGAGUGAUAGAAUAUAUAAUAGUUUGAUGAAUUGAUUUACACAGAAAGAUUUAAUAUGAACAACCGAUGAAUAAAUGAACAGGGGAUAUUCUUGAUUCAAUUAUUUCGGUUACUCGCGAAUAUGCUAGAGAUUACUGCCUGGUUUUAUGCAGCACUAGACUUCACGACGUUCACAAAAAAUGCUCUUGUAUGGCAGCUGGCACUACUGAUUCUGAUAUCAUAGUAUAUCAAUAAUCCGAAUAUAUGGAACUCUGUAUCUUUCAUUAUAUUUCUCGUAACAUAGAUGGACGAUUAUUCGUACUAUAGAUACAUACUUGUUUUCAUUAAGAUUAUUUAUUCAAUAUAGCAGCGAAUUUAGUUUAUCACAGCUUUUUAGAAGCUUUCUUCCUAGUUUGAGAUUCCCGUUUCUUCAUUGCAUCUUAUAUAAUUAUAAUAGAAGUCGAAAGAAAGAGAAAGACAACAUAUAAAUUUUUUUUUACAUUAGACGUCCAAAUAAAUUUUUCUUUAUGUUAUCAAUCGCGUUUGAUACUAUAAGUUGAUAAAAUUUUCAAUAAAUAUCAAUAACUUAUUAUUUUCAAUGAAAAUGAAUUUUAUAUUUUGUGGAGAUUUAUUAUUUAUUAAUUUUUAUAGACGAAAGGAAAGUCUUUAUUUAAUAUCGAUCUACAUUAAUUAAACAUGCAUAAUAGUAUGCAAAGGAACUAAUUUCCACGUACAAAAAAAAAUGUAUAAUUUUUCACUGUAAUGUUGAAAUUCAAUAUGACUGUAGUGAAGAAUAAGAGGACCCUUAAUAUAAAACAGAUCCUUAACUAACAGAAGUUCAUUUAUUCUUUAUAAUCUCGAUAUAUCUGACAACAAAAAGUUUUUAUGGAUGCAACACGAUAUAUUCGAUUCUUUUAUUUGUAGUCACGAUAGUAGUCUCGAUCAUAAUAGAACUUUAUAGUCCAAGCUUAACAUAAUAAUUUAAUUUUCAAUCAUGCAAUAGCAUCCAGGCGUCGCAUAACUUUGUUAAUGGGUUUAUGUAAAUAAUAGUAGAUAUUAGUCAUAAGAUAAAAAAAAACGUACUCUUUUAAAGUACGAGAUAUUUUUUCCAAUAAGGUACAUGCUUUAAAAUACCUUCCUUACGUUUGUAUACUAUGUAGGCUGUAUUUAAAGAUGAUAUAAAACUAUCUACAAGGAAUAAGAAUGUUUUACUAUGUUGAAAUUAUAGUUAUUGUUUAUUUGACUAUUACAAAGACAGAUAAUGGUCAUGUACAUAAUGCUGAAAAAUUAAAUAAAAUAUUGAUAA